This 22-nucleotide microRNA is filed under the name Salmo salar (Atlantic salmon). RNAcentral's name for it is "ssa-miR-375-2-5p". Its record names the gene ssa-miR-375-2-5p. The record is from miRBase by way of RNAcentral. Lineage: Eukaryota; Metazoa; Chordata; Actinopteri; Salmoniformes; Salmonidae.
ACGCUGAGCCACGCGCACAAUA